GCCCCUAUAGCUUAAUCCAAAGCAUAGCACUGAAGAUGCUAAGAUGGUAUCUUUACUACCUGAGGGCA
This 68-nucleotide transfer RNA is filed under the name Pavo cristatus (Indian peafowl). RNAcentral describes it as "tRNA-Phe". It matches the Rfam family "tRNA". Rfam says of the family: Transfer RNA (tRNA) molecules are approximately 80 nucleotides in length. Their secondary structure includes four short double-helical elements and three loops (D, anti-codon, and T loops). Lineage: Eukaryota; Metazoa; Chordata; Aves; Galliformes; Phasianidae. The record is from RNAcentral.